UGGGGAAUCUUGGACAAUGGGGGCAACCCUGAUCCAGCGAUGCCGCGUGGGUGAUGAAGGCCUUCGGGUUGUAAAGCCCUUUCGGCGGGGACGAUAGUGACGGUACCCGCAGAAGAAGCCUCGGCUAACUCCGUGCCAGCAGCCGCGGUAAGACGGAGGAGGCUAGCGUUGUUCGGAAUUACUGGGCGUAAAGCGCGCGCAGGCGGCUUGGCAAGUCAGGGGUGAAAGCCCGGGGCUCAACCUCGGAACUGCCCUUGAGACUGUCAGGCUGGAGACCGAGAGAGGAGAGUGGAAUUCCCAGUGUAGAGGUGAAAUUCGUAGAUAUUGGGAAGAACACCAGUGGCGAAGGCGGCUCUCUGGCUCGGUACUGACGCUCAUGCGCGAAAGCGUGGGGAGCAAACAGG
RNAcentral lists this ribosomal RNA (404 nucleotides) under uncultured bacterium. RNAcentral's name for it is "bacterial SSU rRNA". It matches the Rfam family "Bacterial small subunit ribosomal RNA", at positions 355 to 776 of the family's 1533-position model. The record is from RNAcentral.